UCGGAUAUUCUUUUUUACAUGGAUAACUGUGGUAAUUCUAGAGCUAAUACAUGAACAAGUGUUCCAACCUCAGCUUGCUGACGGAAGGAUCGCAUUUAUUAGUACAAGACCAAUGAUUCUUAUUCACCUAGAACCCUGUUCAGUGAUUUCGGUCGCUGUCUAAGGACUAGCAGUGGGGAUCUUAGCAACUUCGGUUGCAUUUCUUGUGAUGACUCUGAAUAACUGAGCAAAUCGUAUGGCCUCUGAGCCGACGAUGUAUCCCUCAAGCAACUGCCUUAUCAACUGUCGAUGGUAGGUUAUGCGCCUACCAUGGUUGUAACGGGUAACGGGGAAUUAGGGUUCGAUUCCG
RNAcentral lists this non-coding RNA (349 nucleotides) under Tetranychus urticae (two-spotted spider mite). RNAcentral describes it as "eukaryotic small subunit ribosomal RNA". It matches the Rfam family "Eukaryotic small subunit ribosomal RNA", at positions 120 to 385 of the family's 1831-position model. Lineage: Eukaryota; Metazoa; Arthropoda; Arachnida; Trombidiformes; Tetranychidae. The record is from Rfam by way of RNAcentral.